GUGCUCGCUUCGGCAGCACGUGUACUAACGCUGGAAUGACACCGGGAAGACUAGUGUGGCCCCUGUGCAAGAAUGACACGCAGAUUUGUCAAGUGUUCCAUUAAAAA
Phyllostomus discolor (pale spear-nosed bat) is the source of this 107-nucleotide small nuclear RNA. The record is from RefSeq and is a predicted model, not a curated record. Lineage: Eukaryota; Metazoa; Chordata; Mammalia; Chiroptera; Phyllostomidae.